RNAcentral lists this long non-coding RNA (309 nucleotides) under Cicer arietinum (chickpea). Its description in RNAcentral is "long non-coding RNA (CARI_LNC003733)". Lineage: Eukaryota; Viridiplantae; Streptophyta; Magnoliopsida; Fabales; Fabaceae. The record is from RNAcentral.
UAGAAGGGAAAGUUGCUCACUACCACGCUACGGUGCUAGGGAACCAACUUUGGAAGCAACGUUGCGAGCGGAGAUUUUACCGGAUUUACUCGCGGUACUGUAAUCGCACGUUAAAGCUAACGUGAAGGUAAGGGCUCCUUCCAAACUUCUAGUUUGCAUUUAGGGACUUAUCUCUGAUGUUGUGGAAAAGAAUUUUGUUAGGGUUGAAGUGUUGAUUUGGGGGAAAAUGAAUCUAAGGCUUUAUGGGUAAAAUCUUAGAGUUAGGUUUUGGUUAUAUUGAUGAAUGUUUCGUGGAAAAUGAAUUUAAAC